RNAcentral lists this ribosomal RNA (534 nucleotides) under uncultured bacterium. Its description in RNAcentral is "bacterial SSU rRNA". It matches the Rfam family "Bacterial small subunit ribosomal RNA", at positions 28 to 590 of the family's 1533-position model. The record is from RNAcentral.
UACGAACGCUGGCGGCGCGCCUUACGCAUGCAAGUCGCACGGACCUUCGGGUUAGUGGCGGACGGCUGAGCAACGCGUAGGUAACCUAUCCAGUGGUGGGGGACAACUCGCCGAAAGGCGAGCUAAUACCGCAUGUGUUCCCGGUGUGAGAUCCACCGGGAGGAAAGCCUUCGGGCGCCACUUGAGGGGCCUGCGUCCUAUCAGGUAGUUGGUGGGGUAACGGCCUACCAAGCCUGUGACGGGUAGCUGGUCUGAGAGGACGACCAGCCAGAAGGGGACUGAGACACGGCCCCUACUCCUACGGGAGGCAGCAGCGAGGAAUCUUGGGCAAUGGGCGAAAGCCUGACCCUGCGACGCCGCGUGAGGGAUGAAGGCCUUCGGGUCGUAAACCUCUUUUGUGAGGGAAGAAGUUCUGACGGUACCUCACGAAUAAGCCACGGCUAACUACGUGCCAGCAGCCGCGGUAAUACGUAGGUGGCAAGCGUUGUCCGGAUUUACUGGGCGUAAAGGGCUUGUAGGCGGUUCGUUAAGUCC